This 589-nucleotide long non-coding RNA is filed under the name Brassica rapa (field mustard). RNAcentral describes it as "long non-coding RNA (BRAP_LNC001743)". Lineage: Eukaryota; Viridiplantae; Streptophyta; Magnoliopsida; Brassicales; Brassicaceae. The record is from RNAcentral.
CCUAGCAUGCACUAUCGUUACUGUUAUUAUUUUUACCAUGUACACAUGAAUUUUUGAAAGAAAAUAAUCAAUGAUAGCGUUGUCACAUCGUGCAUAUAUUUAUUUUUCCCUUAUGUUACAUCGUUACUAAAUAGUAAAUAGUGAUUGGAAUCACACAAUAUCGGUGGUGGGCAAAUUCUGCGUACAUAUUCAACGUUGCUAAAUCUUGUAGCGAGAGCACAAGUUAAGGAGCUCUCGGGGGAAAGAGUCUACAAGACUUUUCUGUUUCUCUCUUAUAAGGAGGCCUUCUUUGGUGAGCUCCACAAGGCGGGGAAGGGCUUACGCCUAUCUUUUUUGUCCAUUUCACAACACCUAUUACAAAAUUAACCCACCAGAUAGAAUUAUUAAAGGAAGCUGUAAUUAGAAAAUUUAUUUAAAGUAAUAACUUACUAAACUGUAAAUUUUAUAAUUUUCUGAGUAAAAAAGAGACUGACCUAGGUGACGGAAUCUUGCCUCUGUCACACCAACCUGUAAGGAUACACAUAAAAGUAUAUGAACCAAGCUUAGAAGAAGAAAUUGUAUUGUUUUCCUCUCUGUCAUUGUUUUUCUU